RNAcentral lists this ribosomal RNA (301 nucleotides) under uncultured bacterium. RNAcentral's name for it is "partial 16S ribosomal RNA". It matches the Rfam family "Bacterial small subunit ribosomal RNA", at positions 509 to 807 of the family's 1533-position model. The record is from RNAcentral.
CAGUCGCCGCGGUAAUACAGAGGGUGCAAGCGUUAAUCGGAAUUACUGGGCGUAAAGCGCGCGUAGGUGGUUUGUUAAGUUGGAUGUGAAAGCCCCGGGCUCAACCUGGGAACUGCAUCCAAAACUGGCAAGCUAGAGUACGGUAGAGGGGGGUAGAAUUCCAGGUGUAGCGGUGAAAUGCGUAGAGAUCUGGAGGAAUACCGGUGGCGAAGGCGGCCCCCUGGACAAAGACUGACGCUCAGGUGCGAAAGCGUGGGGAGCAAACAGGAUUAGAUACCCGCGUAGUCCCUGUCUCUUAUAC